GGAAUUACUUCUUUUACAGGAAUGAAAUUUUCCUUGAGAUCUCCUCUAAAUCCAGCUGUUCGGAGCUUUGUUCCUGGCCCAAGACCUCCAUAUCCAUUUGGAUAAUGGGAGGAACUGAAAACGGGAAGUUCUUAUGAUGGGAGAGAGAGGUCGGGCUGUGGAGAAGCAAGUGAGGUGGCUGAAACAGAUGGCUAGAGGAAGUGUGCCACCCCUAC
Molecule: long non-coding RNA, 215 nt
Filed under: Homo sapiens (human)
Lineage: Eukaryota; Metazoa; Chordata; Mammalia; Primates; Hominidae
Description: HSALNT0062247
Source: RNAcentral